CGGAAGCGGACGGUGAGGGUGACGCCUUCUCGCCGCCGCUGUCGCGGUGCGUCGUUGUGUGGUGGCGGAAAGAUGGCAGCGGCCAUAGACAGGGUGAAGAUGAAGUAGUGCUCUGACCAUGGACCAUGAUGCCCCCACAAUCAAGCCCCGCCGCAUCCAGAACCAGAAUGUCAUCCACCGCCUGGAGCGCCGUCGGAUCAGCUCUGGCAAGGCCGGCACCCACUGGCACCAGGUCCGAGUCUUCCACCAGAACGUCUUCCCCAACUUCACCGUGGUCAACGUGGAGAAGCCACCCUGCUUCUUGCGCAAGUUCUCCCCCGAUGGACGCUACUUCAUCGCCUUCUCCUCCGACCAGACAUCACUGGAGAUCUACGAGUAUCAGGGCUGCCAGGCGGCAGAGGACCUCCUGCAAGGUUAUGAGGGGGAGAUCCUGGCUAACGGCAAUGACCAAAGAUCUGUCAACAUCCGAGGGCGGCUCUUUGAGCGCUUUUUUGUCCUGCUCCAUAUCACCAAUGUGGCCUCUAACGGGGAGCACCUGAACCGUGAGUGCAGCUUGUUCACUGAUGACUGUAGGUAUGUCAUCGUUGGCUCUGCUGCUUACCUCCCCGAGGAGCCGCACCCGCCCUUCUUUGAGGUUUAUCGCAACAGUGAGUCGGUGACCCCCAACCCUCGCUCCCCUCUGGAAGAUUAUUCCCUGCAUAUCAUUGAUCUCCACACAGGCAGGCUCUGUGACACGAGGACUUUCAAGUGUGACAAAGUCAUCCUCUCUCAUAACCAGGGGCUGUACCUCUAUAAGAACAUCUUGGCCAUUCUCUCCGUGCAGCAGCAGACGAUUCACGUCUUUCAGGUGACACCCGAGGGGACUUUCAUCGACGUGCGGACAAUCGGCCGCUUCUGCUACGAGGACGAUCUGCUGACGCUGUCUGCGGUGUAUCCCGAGGUGCAGCGGGACUCUCAGACAGGGAUGGCAAACCCCUACAAAGAGCCCUUCAUCAAUUCUUUGAAGCACAGGCUGCUGGUGUACCUGUGGAGAAGGGCAGAGCAGGACGGCAGCGCGAUAGCAAAGAGGAGGUUCUUCCAGUACUUUGAUCAGCUGAGGCAGCUCCGCAUGUGGAAGAUGCAGCUUUUGGAUGAGAACCAUCUGUUUAUCAAAUACACUAGUGAAGAUGUGGUCACACUGCGGGUAACAGAUCCUUCACAGCCUUCAUUCUUUGUCGUGUACAACAUGGUGAGCACGGAGGUCAUAGCCGUGUUUGAGAACACGUCCGAUGAGCUGCUGGAGCUGUUUGAGAACUUCUGUGACCUCUUCAGGAACGCCACUUUGCACAGCGAGGCGGUUCAGUUCCCCUGCUCUGCUUCCAGCAACAACUUUGCCAGGCAGAUCCAGCGCCGGUUCAAAGACACUAUUGUGAAUGCCAAGUACGGGGGACACACAGAGGCCGUGCGGAGGCUGCUGGGCCAGCUCCCAAUCAGUGCCCAGUCGUACAGUGGCAGCCCGUACCUCGACCUCUCCCUUUUCAGCUAUGAUGACAAGUGGGUGUCUGUCAUGGAGCGGCCCAAGACCUGCGGUGAUCACCCUAUAAGAUUUUACGCUCGUGAUUCUGGCCUCCUGAAGUUUGAAAUCCAGGCGGGACUCCUGGGGCGGCCCAUCAAUCACACCGUGCGACGCCUGGUUGCGUUCACCUUCCACCCCUUCGAGCCCUUUGCCAUCUCGGUGCAGCGCACGAACGCGGAGUACGUGGUAAACUUCCACAUGAGGCAUAGCUGCACGUAGGGCAACGCGUGGGCAGGGCAGCUCUUCUCCUCGGGUCUGGGCCUCUGCCACAGACAGACCAAAGCCAGGCACUCACACCUUCUAGGAAACCAAACCAUCGAUCGUGUCGAGAGAUCUGACCUGGGAGCUCCCACCUGCCGGCAUCUCGCAGUGCCCUCAGCUGUGAAAAGGAUGGCAACCAUGGAGCUUUGCAACAUAUUUGUGGAGCGCUCCCUUCUGCACUGAUGCUUUCCUACUUUGUCAAGACAAACAGCCUGUCCUAGAGGGAAUGGAUAGAAGCCACGGGGAGAGCUUAGAAAUACAGCUACCUGUAUUUGUAUCACCAGUAUUACCAGGGAAAUGAAAUCCUGUUCUCAUCCACACCAUCUACUCACACGAUUUUAAUAUGCAAGAGGUUAGGAAAAAGCUGUGAGAAAUCAUUGGAACUGAGAGAGAUGAGGUGUAUUCCUGACUUUUAUGCAAGUAAUUUAAUCUUUGUGCCUUAGUAUCCAUAAAGCCCCCUAAGUGGAAGGUGGUAAGUUAGUACCACAAACCUGUGCAGCUGAUUGUGUCUCUGGCGCAUGAAAAAGUGGGCAACAAGGAGGGAGGGUGGCUGGGAGGAGUUUGGAGAAUAACAGCAGCUCCUUGCUCUUCUUGAAGGGUUUCUUUCUGCAGUGUGGAUGAAUCCUUAUGGGCAUCUGCAGGCUUGCUGCUGAGCAGAAGGGAGUCCCAGCUGCUGGCACCCUUCUGUGUGCUGGAGAAUGACCGUGGAGAACUAAUAGCAUUUGGGUUUUUCCAGGAAGGAGGGAGGAGACCUGAAUUACUGUGCAUUGCUGCAGGUUUGCAGUUAAGAGAUGAGUUUGUUGACUUACGUUGCUUACCUAUCCCUGUUUGAUACGCUGUUCUCUGUGAGAACCCUUUUGGGUAUUCCCAGGCUUCAAAGCACAGCUGGCUGGUGCGUCAUGUUCGGCGUGGUGCUGAGUGGACCACUGCAGUGUCUAUGCUGCCUAGAAAUUAAGCUCCUAGGUGUAAUACUGUUUGUCCUGUUAGUUGGUGUGGCCUGCCCUCCUCUGUUAAAAACGGAAUUCUUGGUUGCAGAGCAGCGUUUGUGUUCUGCUGCACACAGACUUGUGACUGUGUGCUAUCAAGCAUUGCAGCCAUCCCACGUGAGCUACAGAGGGGACAUCAGAAAAUUGGUGCUUGUGCACGGGAGACACCUACUUUAAAUGACCCUGUUGGUGUCGUCUUUGGACCAAAGUGGGCUGUGGGUGAUGUGUUGUGGCCGCAUGACUGUGAAGAACAGUACUGAUGUCAUACAGUCAUUUUGCAUAGUAAAGCACAAGAAAGUAACUUUGUGUGUUGUUGGUGCCUGCAUAAAGCAUGAAUGUGGGACCUUGCAGGGAAAGGUGGCUGAGGAUCUUCAAGUCAGCCUUUAGUCUCUAUUCUAUGGUAUUUACUUUCCCGGCCAUGCUGAACUUAAUUCUAGGACAAGAUGCUGUAUUUCACUGCUCUUUUUCUGGUUUAUGCACUGUGGGUUUCUCAGGUCUUUCAGGAAUGACUUCAAGGUUGGAAGACUGCUAAUAGAGGGAGCAUCAGGCCAUGUGUGCUUUAGGUCUGGGUUCCUCUCCAUCUAAUAACACUAUUUGUCAAGGUUUUAGGUUUUAUCCUGUGAUCUGUUCCUCAAAUAUUCAAUUAAAGCUCCAAGUGGAGAAUCAUUUGCACAUAGUAGAUCAUGGAAUUAUCUUCUUCCUGCACCACUCUCACAUUUGUUCACACUUUCAGUAUGAGACUAUUUUUGUUUUCUCCAAAGCUCUCAGCAGCUCCGUUCAAGACUGGCUUUAUGCCUUGAUGUCAGCCUGGGAGGUCAGUGCUUAUUAAAAUAGCUCCCAGGUCUCUGUUUAAAUGUUGUUUGUUUGGGUUUUUUUUUUUGGGUGGCAAAAAUAUAAAGCAUUUUUAUAUUAGCAUUUCUGCAGUAGGGGCUUUUGCCAGAUUCAGGCUGUCCUGUGUGAUGCAGAGAGCAUGGCGUGGGUUGUUGGACUCGGGGCUGAGAGACCAGAGGUCUGCUCUUAUUCUGCUAUUAAAUUGUUUUGUCACUGAGGGCAAAUCUAUUCCUGUUCCAUCCGGUGUUUUCUUCUCUGUAAAUGAGGCCAAAAACAUAUUUUCAGCUUUUGUAAAACGCUUGGAGAUUCAUGGAUAAAAAGUGCUGGGUGAGUGCUAAGUAUUUUCUUAUUAUGUUUGCAGACAAACUGAUUGAUUCAUUCUGGGUACUAAUUGCCUUUGAGUAGCAUUGCAGAUCCUCUGGUCGUGGCUGCUGCAUUUUAUAUCUACAACAGAGUUAAUUUUAUUACAGAAAUGCAUUGGAAGAAAAAAGUCUCUCAUACUUGAAAUUUUGAUUCUUUAUUCAUUAAAACAACAACAACAACAAAAAAGUGUGUGGUGGGGAGGGGGGGAGGAAAGGGCAAAUAUUUUCUACCUGAUAUUUUUCCUAGGCUAGGAUGAAGAUUUGUUAGCAGCACAACACAAAAAUGGAAUAAACAGAAUUUGCUGUAAGAGCUCGAUUUAUUGUUUUUGUUUUCUCAGAACCUUAGUGGUGCAGCCAGGAGUCCCAUUGUUAGGAAGAGAUGGUAGGGAUGUGUGCUGGGCUGUGCAGAAUUAUUACCCGCCAGUUUCUUGCUUCUUCCUGACGUCUGGAGUAGCAGUGUGCUUCCUACCAAGGGCAUUGCUGU
Lagopus leucura (white-tailed ptarmigan) is the source of this 4479-nucleotide RNA transcript. It is a transcript of the gene named DET1 partner of COP1 E3 ubiquitin ligase, with no coding region annotated. Lineage: Eukaryota; Metazoa; Chordata; Aves; Galliformes; Phasianidae. The transcript is spliced from 6 exons. The record is from RefSeq and is a predicted model, not a curated record.